CCCUGGCUGGUUCGGUUGGUAGAGCACGUGACUCCUGAUCGUAGGGUCAUGAGUUCAAGCCUCAUGUUGGGCA
RNAcentral lists this transfer RNA (73 nucleotides) under Ailuropoda melanoleuca (giant panda). It matches the Rfam family "tRNA". Rfam says of the family: Transfer RNA (tRNA) molecules are approximately 80 nucleotides in length. Their secondary structure includes four short double-helical elements and three loops (D, anti-codon, and T loops). Lineage: Eukaryota; Metazoa; Chordata; Mammalia; Carnivora; Ursidae. The record is from Rfam by way of RNAcentral.